GCCCUGAUAGCUCAGUCCGGCCAGAGCAUCUGCCUUGUAAGCAGAGGUCGCCGGUUCGAAUCCGGCUUGGGGCU
Molecule: transfer RNA, 74 nt
Filed under: Mycobacteroides abscessus
Lineage: Bacteria; Bacillati; Actinomycetota; Actinomycetes; Mycobacteriales; Mycobacteriaceae
Description: tRNA-Thr
Rfam family: tRNA
About the family: Transfer RNA (tRNA) molecules are approximately 80 nucleotides in length. Their secondary structure includes four short double-helical elements and three loops (D, anti-codon, and T loops).
Source: RNAcentral